AAGUCCUCGAGAAGAGAGAGAGAGAGAGAGAGAGUGUGUAUUAUUGGAGAAUGUAACUCUUCAUCUUGUGCUGCAAGCAAAUUAUCGAGGUUUGCAAAAUAAAUGGAACCAACCAUGCCUUCUGAUUGAUACUGCUACGGACAGAAUCCUCAACUCCAUUUCUGCCAAGUGCUUGGAUGUACUCAGAUGGAGUCGCGUGAUGUUUGUGGACUUUUUGAAGGUAUCUGCAAACCACUUCCAGAACACUUCAUCUGUAAGUUUUCAUGCUUUUUGAAGUACUUUCUCCCAUAAAGAAUGAUGAUUCUUCGCCAUGCAGGCUACAUAGCCAUUUUGAUGGACAAGCAUGCUGUUGAAUAAACUUUUCUUUCCAUGU
Hemicordylus capensis (graceful crag lizard) is the source of this 373-nucleotide long non-coding RNA. RefSeq lists it as uncharacterized. The record is from RefSeq and is a predicted model, not a curated record. The transcript is spliced from 2 exons. Lineage: Eukaryota; Metazoa; Chordata; Lepidosauria; Squamata; Cordylidae.